Molecule: ribosomal RNA, 438 nt
Filed under: uncultured bacterium
Lineage: Bacteria
Description: partial 16S ribosomal RNA
Rfam family: Bacterial small subunit ribosomal RNA
Source: RNAcentral
AACGAACGCUGGCGGCAUGCCUAACACAUGCAAGUCGAACGAGACCUUCGGGUCUAGUGGCGCACGGGUGCGUAACGCGUGGGAACCUGCCCUUAGGUUCGGAAUAACUCCCCGAAAGGGGUGCUAAUACCGGAUAAUGUCUUCGGACCAAAGAUUUGUCGCCUGGGGAUGGGCCCGCGUUGGAUUAGCUAGUUGGUAGGGUAAAAGCCUACCAAGGCGACGAUCGGUAGCUGGUCUGAGAGGAUGAUCGGCCACACUGGGACUGAGAUACGGGCCAGACUACUAAGGGAGGCAGCAGUGGGGAAUAUUGCACAAUGGGCGGAAGCAUGAUGCAGCAACGCCGCGUGCGGGAUGACGGCCUUCGGGUUGUAAACCGCUUUCGCCUGUGACGAAGCGUGAGUGACGGUAAUGGGUAAAGAAGCACCGGCUAACUACGUG